RNAcentral lists this ribosomal RNA (505 nucleotides) under uncultured bacterium. Its description in RNAcentral is "partial 16S ribosomal RNA". It matches the Rfam family "Bacterial small subunit ribosomal RNA", at positions 28 to 507 of the family's 1533-position model. The record is from RNAcentral.
GACGAACGCUGGCGGCGUGCCUAAUACAUGCAAGUAGAACGCACAGUUUAUACCGUAGCUUGCUACACCAUAAACUGUGAGUUGCGAACGGGUGAGUAACGCGUAGGUAACCUGCCUGGUAGCGGGGGAUAACUAUUGGAAACGAUAGCUAAUACCGCAUAAUAUUGAUUAUUGCAUGAUAAUUGAUUGAAAGAUGCUAUUGCUUCACUACCAGAUGGACCUGCGUUGUAUUAGCUAGUAGGUGAGGUAACGGCUCACCUAGGCGACGAUACAUAGCCGACCUGAGAGGGUGAUCGGCCACACUGGGACUGAGACACGGCCCAGACUCCUACGGGAGGCAGCAGUAGGGAAUCUUCGGCAAUGGACGAAAGUCUGACCGAGCAACGCCGCGUGAGUGAAGAAGGUUUUCGGAUCGUAAAGCUCUGUUGUAAGAGAAGAACGGGUGUGAGAGUGGAAAGUUCACACUGUGACGGUAUCUUACCAGAAAGGGACGGCUAACUACGUG